GACGAACGCUGGCGGCGUGCUUAACACAUGCAAGUCGAACGGAAAGGCCCUGCUUUUGUGGGGUGCUCGAGUGGCGAACGGGUGAGUAACACGUGAGUAACCUGCCCUGGACUUUGGGAUAACUUCAGGAAACUGGGGCUAAUACCGGAUAGGAGCUCCUGCUGCAUGGUGGGGGUUGGAAAGUUUCGGCGGUUGGGGAUGGACUCGCGGCUUAUCAGCUUGUUGGUGGGGUAGUGGCUUACCAAGGCUUUGACGGGUAGCCGGCCUGAGAGGGUGACCGGCCACAUUGGGACUGAGAUACGGACCAGACUCCUACGGGAGGCAGCAGUGGGGAAUAUUGCACAAUGGGCGGAAGCCUGAUGAAGCAACGCCGCGUGCGGGAUGACGGCCUUCGGGUUGUAAACCGCUUUCGCCUGUGACGAAGCGUGAGUGACGGUAAUGGGUAAAGAAGCACCGGCUAACUACGUG
Molecule: ribosomal RNA, 468 nt
Filed under: uncultured bacterium
Lineage: Bacteria
Description: partial 16S ribosomal RNA
Rfam family: Bacterial small subunit ribosomal RNA
Source: RNAcentral